Molecule: ribosomal RNA, 493 nt
Filed under: uncultured bacterium
Lineage: Bacteria
Description: bacterial SSU rRNA
Rfam family: Bacterial small subunit ribosomal RNA
Source: RNAcentral
GGCUCAGAUUGAACGCUGGCGGCAUGCCUUACACAUGCAAGUCGAACGGUAACGGCGGGCAACCUGGCGACGAGUGGCGAACGGGUGAGUAAUGCAUCGGAACGUGCCCAGUAGGUGGGGGAUAGCCCGGACGAAAGCCGGAUUAAUACCGCAUACGACCGUACGGGGGAAAGCGGGGGACCUUCGGGCCUCGCACUAUUGGAUGAGCCUAUGUCAGAUUAGCUUGUUGGUGGGGUAACGGCCUACCAAGGCGACGAUCUGUAGCUGGUCUGAGAGGACGAUCAGCCACACUGGGACUGAGACACGGCCCAGACUCCUACGGGAGGCAGCAGUGGGGAAUAUUGCACAAUGGGCGAAAGCCUGAUGCAGCAAUGCCGCGUGUGUGAAGAAGGCCUGCGGGUUGUAAAGCACUUUCAGCAGGGAGGAAACAGUAGCCGGUUAAUAUCCGGUUGCCUUGACGUUACCUACAGAAGAAGCACCGGCUAACUCUGUG